GCCGGUGACAAACCGGAGGAAGGUGGGGAUGACGUCAAAUCAUCAUGCCCCUUAUGAUUUGGGCUACACACGUGCUACAAUGGACAAUACAAAGGGCAGCGAAACCGCGAGGUCAAGCAAAUCCCAUAAAGUUGUUCUCAGUUCGGAUUGUAGUCUGCAACUCGACUACAUGAAGCUGGAAUCGCUAGUAAUCGUAGAUCAGCAUGCUACGGUGAAUACGUUCCCGGGUCUUGUACACACCGCCCGUCACACCACGAGAGUUUGUAACACCCGAAGCCGGUGGAGUAACCUUUUAGGAGCUAGCCGUCGAAGGUGGGACAAAUGAUUGGGGUGAAGUCGUAACAAGGUAGCCGUAUCGGAAGGUGCGGCUGGAUCACCUCCUUUCUAAGGA
This 391-nucleotide ribosomal RNA is filed under the name Escherichia coli. RNAcentral's name for it is "bacterial SSU rRNA". It matches the Rfam family "Bacterial small subunit ribosomal RNA", at positions 1151 to 1533 of the family's 1533-position model. The record is from RNAcentral. Lineage: Bacteria; Pseudomonadati; Pseudomonadota; Gammaproteobacteria; Enterobacterales; Enterobacteriaceae.